GGUAAACUUUAGGGGUGCCCCGCCACGUGGGGCUGAGACAAUACCCUUGGAACCUGAUGCGGAUAAUGCCGCCGAAGGGAAAAGUACUGGUCCGCAC
Regulatory RNA element from Hymenobacter sp., 97 nucleotides. It matches the Rfam family "TPP riboswitch aptamer (THI element)". From Rfam's summary of the family: Vitamin B(1) in its active form thiamin pyrophosphate (TPP) is an essential coenzyme that is synthesised by coupling of pyrimidine and thiazole moieties in bacteria. The previously detected thiamin-regulatory element, thi box was extended, resulting in a new, highly conserved RNA secondary structure, the THI element, which is widely distributed in eubacteria and also occurs in some archaea. Lineage: Bacteria; Pseudomonadati; Bacteroidota; Cytophagia; Cytophagales; Hymenobacteraceae. The record is from Rfam.